CGUUUGGCGAGGAUACCUUUUCUCUGUAAGACUUUUUCGAAGAGUCGAGUUGUUUGGGAAUGCAGCUCAAAGUGGGUGGUAAAUUCCAUCUAAAGCUAAAUAUUGGCGAGAGACCGAUAGCGAACAAGUACAGUGAUGGAAAGAUGAAAAGAACUUUGAAAAGAGAGUGAAAAAGUACGUGAAAUUGUUGAAAGGGAAGGGCAUUUGAUCAGACAUGGUGUUUUUUGCAUGCACUCGCCUCUCGUGGGCUUGGGCCUCUCAAAAAUUUCACUGGGCCAACAUCAAUUCUGGCAGCAGGAUAAAUCAUUAAGAAUGUAGCUACUUCGGUAGUGUUAUAGCUUUUUGGAAUACUGUUAGCCGGGAUUGAGGACUGCGCUUCGGCAAGGAUGUUGGCAUAAUGGUUAAAUGCCGCCCGUCUU
This 419-nucleotide ribosomal RNA is filed under the name Hanseniaspora uvarum. RNAcentral describes it as "eukaryotic LSU rRNA". It matches the Rfam family "Eukaryotic large subunit ribosomal RNA", at positions 222 to 655 of the family's 3401-position model. The record is from RNAcentral. Lineage: Eukaryota; Fungi; Ascomycota; Saccharomycetes; Saccharomycodales; Saccharomycodaceae.